Molecule: ribosomal RNA, 249 nt
Filed under: uncultured bacterium
Lineage: Bacteria
Description: partial 16S ribosomal RNA
Rfam family: Bacterial small subunit ribosomal RNA
Source: RNAcentral
GCAAGUCGAGGGGUAAGGCUCAUUUCGGUGAGUACACGACCGGCGCACGGGUGCGUAAAGCGUAUGCAACCUACCUUUCACAGGGGGAUAGACCGAAGAAAUACGGAUUAACACCCCAUAACACUUCGCUGUGGCAUCACAAUGCAGUUAAAACUCCGGUGGUUAAAGAUGGGCAUGCGUGACAUUAGAUAGUUGGUGAGGUAACGGCUCACCAAGUCUACGAUGUCUAGGGGUUCUGAGAGGAUGAUC